RNAcentral lists this ribosomal RNA (253 nucleotides) under uncultured bacterium. RNAcentral's name for it is "partial 16S ribosomal RNA". It matches the Rfam family "Bacterial small subunit ribosomal RNA", at positions 524 to 776 of the family's 1533-position model. The record is from RNAcentral.
UACGGAGGGAGCUAGCGUUGUUCGGAUUUACUGGGCGUAAAGAGCACGUAGGCGGCGCCGUAAGUCAGGGGUGAAAUCCCGGAGCUCAACUCCGGAACUGCCCUUGAAACUGCAGUGCUAGAAUCCUGGAGAGGCGAGUGGAAUUCCGGGUGUAGAGGUGAAAUUCGUAGAUAUUCGGAAGAACACCAGUGGCGAAGGCGACUCGCUGGACAGGUAUUGACGCUGAGGUGCGAAAGCGUGGGGAGCAAACAGG